GAUGAAGAACGUAGCAAAAUGCGAUAAGUAAUGUGAAUUGCAGAAUUCAGUGAAUCAUCGAAUCUUUGAACGCACAUUGCGCCCGCCAGUAUUCUGGCGGGCAUGCCUGUUCGAGCGUCAUUUCAACCCUCAAGCUCAGCUUGGUGUUGGGACUCGCGGUAACCCGCGUUCCCCAAAUCGAUUGGCGGUCACGUCGAGCUUCCAUAGCGUAGUAAUCAUACACCUCGUUACUGGUAAUCGUCGCGGCCACGCCGUAAAACCCCAACUUCUGAAUGUUGACCUCGGAUCAGGUAGGAAUACCCGCUGAACUUAAGCAUAUCAAUAAGCGGAUGA
This 333-nucleotide unclassified non-coding RNA is filed under the name soil metagenome. RNAcentral describes it as "partial contains 5.8S ribosomal RNA, internal transcribed spacer 2, and large subunit ribosomal RNA". The stretch from base 1 to 120 matches the Rfam family "5.8S ribosomal RNA", at positions 35 to 154 of the family's 154-position model. The record is from RNAcentral.